AACGAACGCUGGCGGCGUGCCUAACACAUGCAAGUCGUGCGAGAAAGUUCCUUCGGGAGCGAGUAAAGCGGCGCACGGGUGAGUAACACGUAGGUAACCUGCCCCCCAGUCUGGAACAACUAGAGGAAACUCUAGCUAAUGCCGGAUGAGACCACGAUCCCUUCGGGGGUUGCGGCCAAAGAUGGCCUCUACUUGUAAGCUAUCGCUGAGGGAUGGGCCUGCGGGCCAUUAGCUUGUUGGUGAGGUAACGGCUCACCAAGGCUGUGAUGGCUAGCUGGUCUGAGAGGAUGACCAGCCACACUGGGACUGAGACACGGCCCAGACUUCUACGGGAGGCAGCAGUGGGGAAUAUUGCGCAAUGGGCGAAAGCCUGACGCAGCGACGCCGCGUGGGUGAUGAAGGCC
This 404-nucleotide ribosomal RNA is filed under the name uncultured bacterium. Its description in RNAcentral is "bacterial SSU rRNA". It matches the Rfam family "Bacterial small subunit ribosomal RNA", at positions 29 to 416 of the family's 1533-position model. The record is from RNAcentral.